GACGAACGCUGGCGGCGUGCUUAAUACAUGCAAGUCAACUUGACUUUAGAUAGCAAUAUCGAAAAGUAGGGUGGCGCACGGGUGCGUAACGCGUAGGUAAUCUGCCCUGAGGUCUGACAUAACCCGUCGAAAGGCGGGCUAACAUCAGAUGAUAUAUAAUCACGACAUCGUGGGAAUAUCAAAUCUUCGGAGCCUUGGGAUGAGCCUGCGUCUGAUUAGGUAGUUGGCGGAGUAAUAGCCCACCAAGCCUACGAUCAGUAGCUGGUCUGAGAGGAUGAUCAGCCACACUGGAACUGAGACACGGUCCAGACUCCUACGGGAGGCAGCAGUAAGGAAUAUUGCUCAAUGGGGGAAACCCUGAAGCAGCAACGCCGCGUGAAGGAUGAAAUACUUUGUAUGUAAACUUCUGUAAGAUGGGAAAAAUAUUACUCCUCGGGAGAAUUGAUUGUACCAUCAGAGUAAGCCCCGGCUAACCU
This 476-nucleotide ribosomal RNA is filed under the name uncultured bacterium. RNAcentral's name for it is "bacterial SSU rRNA". It matches the Rfam family "Bacterial small subunit ribosomal RNA", at positions 28 to 503 of the family's 1533-position model. The record is from RNAcentral.